This 454-nucleotide ribosomal RNA is filed under the name uncultured bacterium. RNAcentral describes it as "bacterial SSU rRNA". It matches the Rfam family "Bacterial small subunit ribosomal RNA", at positions 28 to 524 of the family's 1533-position model. The record is from RNAcentral.
GGUGAAUGCUGGCGGCGUGGAUAAGUCAUGCAAGUCAAGGGGGCCCGCAAGGGCAACCGGCAAACGAGGUAGUAACACGUAGGUAGACCCCCCAGAGUCGGGCAUAGCCAGCCGAAAGGUUGGGUAAUUCCCGAUAGUCCCGAAAGGGUAAAGGUUUUUCGCUCUGGGAGUUGCCUGCGUAGUAUCAGCUAGUUGGUAGGGUAAUGGCCUACCAAGGCUACGACGCUUAGGGGAGCUGAGAGGCUGACCCCCACGAUGGGACUGCGACACGGUCCAUACUCCUACGGGAGGCUGCAGACGAGAAUAUUCCGCAAUGGGCGAAAGCCUGACGGAGCGACGCCGCGUGAUUGAUGAAGUGCUUCGGGUACGUAAAGAUCUUUUAUCGGGGACGAAGUUUAUUGACGGUACCCGAUGAAUAAGGGGCUCCUAACUCUGUGCCAGCAGCCGCGGUAAU